AAAUUGAAGAGUUUGAUCAUGGCUCAGAUUGAACGCUGGCGGCAGGCCUAACACAUGCAAGUCGAACGGUAACAGAAAGCAGCUUGCUGCUUUGCUGACGAGUGGCGGACGGGUGAGUAAUGUCUGGGAAACUGCCUGAUGGAGGGGGAUAACUACUGGAAACGGUAGCUAAUACCGCAUAACGUCGCAAGACCAAAGAGGGGGGACCUUCGGGCCUCUUGCCAUCGGAUGUGCCCAGAUGGGAUUAGCUAGUAGGUGGGGUAACGGCUCACCUAGGCGACGAUCCCUAGCUGGUCUGAGAGGAUGACCAGCCACACUGGAACUGAGACACGGUCCAGACUCCUACGGGAGGCAGCAGUGGGGAAUAUUGCACAAUGGGCGCAAGCCUGAUGCAGCCAUGCCGCGUGUAUGAAGAAGGCCUUCGGGUUGUAAAGUACUUUCAGCGGGGAGGAAGGGAGUAAAGUUAAUACCUUUGCUCAUUGACGUUACCCGCAGAAGAAGCACCGGCUAACUCCGUGCCAGCAGCCGCGGUAAUACGGAGGGUGCAAGCGUUAAUCGGAAUUACUGGGCGUAAAGCGCACGCAGGC
RNAcentral lists this ribosomal RNA (587 nucleotides) under Escherichia coli. Its description in RNAcentral is "bacterial SSU rRNA". It matches the Rfam family "Bacterial small subunit ribosomal RNA", at positions 1 to 576 of the family's 1533-position model. The record is from RNAcentral. Lineage: Bacteria; Pseudomonadati; Pseudomonadota; Gammaproteobacteria; Enterobacterales; Enterobacteriaceae.